Long non-coding RNA from Anolis carolinensis (green anole), 4185 nucleotides. RefSeq lists it as uncharacterized. The record is from RefSeq and is a predicted model, not a curated record. Lineage: Eukaryota; Metazoa; Chordata; Lepidosauria; Squamata; Anolidae. The transcript is spliced from 4 exons.
CUUUCCUCCUCUCCCUUCCUCCCUUCCUUCCCUUCUCCCGCUUCGUCCACGCUGCGGAAUGAAGGCGCCCUGCCGCCGCUUUGAACCACCGCCUUGGAAUCCUGGGGGUUCUUUGAACAGCAAGGGAGGAGGAGGAGGAGGGCCUCGAAAGGGAUGGUUCAUGGACCAGCAUAGAUUCAUAGACCAUCAUUUUGAGUAGCAUUGGAGGGACUAAUUAUUUUUUUCUUCAUGCCCUUUAAAAUCUCAACGGGUCUUUUAGGAGUUCUGCAUUAUCUUGUUUCAUGAAUGUAACCCAUUGAGCGAAAAUGCCCUGCAUAAGUAACAUCUGACCCUGGGCAGCAUGAAAUUUAUCUGAACCCAACAUAAUGGAUGGCUGCAGUAGUCUAAAUGCCAAAUUCAAUCGUGGAAGAUCACACUCAAACAGAGAUGUGGCCUCUGGACUUCACAAAUAUGGCUCCAAAAGAUACCAAUUCACCUCUGAUCUUGGAAGCUAAGCAGGGUCUGACCUGGUUAAUACAUGGAUGGGAGAACAACAACAACAACUGGUUGCUGUAGGCUAUAUUUCAGAGGAAAACAUUUCUGAGUUUUUUUUUUUUUGCCUUAAUAAAACCCUAUGAGAUUCAUAGAGUUGUCAUCAGUUGAAAGGUGACUUGAAGGCACACGACAUACAACACAGUGCCUCCUAGGUGAGCUACAGUAGAGUCUCACUUAUCCAACACUCGCUUAUCCAACGUUCUGGAUUAUCCAACGCAUUUUUGUAGUCAAUGUUUUCAAUACAUCGUGAUAUUUCGAUGCUAAAUUCGUAAAUACAGUAAUUACUACAUAGCAUUACUGCGUAUUGAACUACUUUUUCUGUCAAAUUUAUUGUGUAACAUGAUGUUUUGGUGCUUAAUUUGUAAAAUCAUAACCUAAUUUGAUGUGUAAUAGGCUUUUCCUUAAUCCCUCCUUAUUAUCCAACAUAUUUGCUUAUCCAACGUUCUGCCGGCCUGUUUAUGUUGGAUAAGUGAGACUCUACUGUAGUUACAAAUUAAUAAAGAAGAACCGAUCUGGUCCUGAGUGGUGGUAUCCAUAUUCCAUAUGUAUUGGAGUUUGAUCACCCCUGCUUGAUCUCUCAUGGCACCCUAGGAUUCCAGGGAGCCCCAGUUGAGAAACCUUGCCUUAUAUAUUACUUUAAAAAUACCCCUUUCUGAAAACCAGAAAUGGUACUUCCAAUCAAGGCAGGCAGUAUUGAAUUAGAUGAAGUAGGGUUCUGACCUUCCAGCAGGUUGUAAUGGAGGUUGUAAUGGAGUGCUCAAAUUUAAAUGCAAUCCUAAGUAUGAAAAAUACUGAGCGUCUAGUUGUUUCUGGGGUGAAACUUCUAAGCAGCAUACCUGUUAUUGAAAAAUUGGACCGUAGAAGAAUGAACCCCUUAGUCUAUGGCUCCAUAGACUAAUCUAUGAAACCAUAAUAGUCUGAAUUAAGGAGCCCACAUUGACUUUACCCCUAGUUUCAUUGAAAGGCCCUGAAUGUUGAAUAAGCACUGUACACAGCUCAGACCCCAGGGAAUAGAUUGGCCACACACUAGUUAGUAUAAUCCUUUCACAGUACCCCGGGAAGACACACACAUAUGAUGGACUGUUUUUCUUGAUAUGAUCUCAUUUUAUUCCUGGAAAUGUUUCCUCAUCUCUGUUAUCAAAUCAGACCCCUCUCCCUGGGGUCCCCAUUGAACAUCCUUUUGUUUAUGUGACUGACACCCAUUGUAUUAACCAGAGCAGGGACAUGAAAAUCCAUUUUAGCUCAUUAUCUCUCAUCACACCACAUUCCUUUCCACUUGCUCUUCUCUCCUGGGUGGAUCAAUAAACAAACACAAGCCUUCAAAAUAAUCCAAUGGUACUUCUCAGGGACAUACCUCUUUUUAUUCAAAUUCCCAGACUACUUGACAAGCCUCUGAGUCCUCCAUUUUGCUCAUCUCCUGUGAGUAUGGAGUGACACAAGAUGUCUACAGAGAGAUAGUUAGAUGGCCAGGGUCUAACUUUGCUAUAUAGAAAUGUAGUUCUUUCAAUAAGGUCUUUGGUACUUUUAAAGCUUGACUCUGAUCCUGUAAUUGCUUGUGCGCAUUUGGUCUACUGCUAGCUCAAGAAGCUUCUGAUUUGCUCAAAUUGCUGCUGUUGCUGCUGAAUUACCUUUUAAAAUGCUUUAUCCUUUUUGAUAUUACUCAACAGAAGCUGUAGUCCAACAAUAUCUAGAAUAAUAACACGUAAUACAAUAAGAAUACACUUUAUUUAUAUUCCACCCUUAUGCUCUAGGGGAUUACAGCAUUUACAGCAGACACAGGCAUACAUUCAAUGCCUUACAAUCACAUACAAUGAGACACACAAACACAGAUAAAGGCAAAGGCUUCUCCUUUCAUUUCUGGCUUCUGGAGGCGGUGCUCAUCUCUGGCUCUGGGGAAGGUGCUCUUCUCCAUUUUCAAGCUGUGUUGUCACCUCCUGGUCAUGUGGCCAGCAAGAUUGCUUGGAACGUCAUUUUGCCUUUUCCUGCCAAAGCGGUACCUAUUUAUCUACUCACAUUGGCAUGUUUUCAAAACUGCUAUGUUGGCACGAGCUAGGCUUCACAGUGGGAGCUCACACCGUCCCGUGGAUUCGAACUGCCAACCUUCAGGUCAGCAGUACAAGGGUUUCACCCAUUGCGCCACCAUGACCCCUGGAACUCUAGAUGAUUCUGCAUCUCCAAAUUUGAUCCUACAAAUUUGAUCAUAGUGUAGCAGCACAUAAGACUACAGCUCCCAGAAUCCCCAGUUGACAUGCCAAGUGGUCAUACUGGCUGGGGGAUUCCGGGAAUGGUAAUCCAAGCAUCUUAGCUGUAUGGUGUAUAGUAUGCUUUUGGUCCACCAGUACAACUGGUUUGGUUUGUGGACAUCUUAAGCCAAAGAAUUAUGUUCCUCUUAGAUGGAAACCUAACUUACAGCAGAGAAAGCAAAUGUAAUUAUAUUUGACAGUACCUUGCCCAUGAGCAAAUCUGCCAACUGCGAGCUUUUUACUGCUAUUCUUAGCUUCAUCGCAGGAGUAGCAUUUUAAAAGAGCAAAGGCUUGUGGAUGCCUUUGGCCGCCCUCUUAACUACAAAUUGCAUUGCCAAUCUCCCUUUGGGGUCUAUUCCUGAAAGGCCAUUUUGUUUCAUACUGAGUAGUAAAGACUUCUUUCCUUUAUCUUUUAUUCUUUGUGCACACACAGCUCUCUCCAUUCCUUCCUGGUAGAUUUAAAACAGGAUUUAACAGCUGGAAAACAGGAGGGAAAAUAACAGGCAAUACAACAUCACUGUAUCAACAUGUGGUGAAACCUUACCUGCUGAAUUACUGCCUGCUAGAGCUUUGCCAGAAAAGACAUGUAGCAGACCCAUGGUACAAUUUGAUGGUGCUCUUGCUCUUGUUAAAGGCACAUCUACACUGUGCUUCAGGCAGCUUUGUAAUCAGUGUAGAGAUGUGAUGAAAAUUCAUUGCUGUUCGCAAAGUUUAUGUAAAUUUCAAUACUAUUGCUGAAAUAUUUUUUGAGCUUCCAAAUUGCCAGCUACUUGUUCCAGGUAUGAGAAUUUACAAAUACUUCCUCUGCAAAAGAAAUAAUGGGGCAGGCACUUUGAUAGGUAGCUCGGCAGACAUUUUUGGUUGAGAGUCAACCCAGUUGACGUGUCUUGCUCUCCAGGAAGCACCAAGAACAGUCAUAGAUUUCUCUUACACCUUUCAGAAUGGGAAGAAUAAAAGGAGAAAACUGCAUCGCUAAGCAACAGCACUACCUUAUCACAGCUGUCGAGAACAUUGGCAAUUACAGUACAUGGAAAGUAAUUGUGACAAGAACGAAGUAGGCUUUGUGAGAUCUACAGAGGAAACAAGCUUUUUCUGGGUCCCACCAGCAUCAUUGGCACAUGGUUGGUGAGAGCAGAGGAAAGAGCCUUUUUUAUUAUUGUUUAUAAACUAAUGAAUUCCUUCUCAUGAAGCUGCCUCCCUCUACAUUCGCUUGGGAAAUGCUCCAUUGUUUGGUUUGGAACUCCUAGAAUCCCAUAGACAUAGUUCAUCCAGGAAUCAACAUCCAGGAAAAAAGGUAACAAACUAGAAAUUAGGAUAAAAUUAGGGCCAUGGUGGCACAGUGGGUUAAACCCUUGUGCUGCUGAACUGCUGACCUGAAGGUUGGCAAUUCGAAUCCGUGGGACGUGGU